AUGGUUGCUCCUGCUAAUGCUUUAGUUCAUGAGGCACGUGAGUUGGAAGAUGAAGAAGCUGGAUCACAGCCACAACAACCUUAUGUUGGCAUGCGCUUCGACACAUUAGAGGAUGCGAGGGAACACUACAAUCGCUAUGCUUUGAUGGAGGGCUUUUCAAUCAAGUCAAAUACGUCUUACAGGUCGGCCUACACAGAUGUGGUGGAAAAACAGCAAUUCUGCUGUAACAAGUUCCGCAAACCAGUAGAGAGGGUUGGGAUCCCGGAUGUUCCCUCAUCGAGCAAAAACACUACAUAUCCAAGCUCACCUGAACAAGAUGUUGAAGAUGAUGUCGAGGAACACACUUUCAAGAAGAAGAGGAAACGGGAAACUGUGAAGCAAACAAAAUGCCGUGCUAAGAUGGUGGUGAAGCUUAAAGAUGACAGAUGGGAGGUUAUCACUUUUAUUGCAGAUCAUAACCAUCCACUAAUUGAGAAGCCAUCGCUUUCGAAAUACCUCCGUUCUCACCAAGGAAUCCCGCCGGAACAGAAAGAACUACUGACUCACCUAAAUGACUGCAACUUGACAGCAGGAAAAAUGAUGAUGUUAAUGUCAUCAUACUACGGUUCAGAGUUGAUUGUUCCGUACACAGCUAAAGCCAUCCAUAACCACUGUUCGAAGCUCAACGCCCCAACUAAAGACAUUGGCAUUGAAGAAACACUAAACUAA
Molecule: ribosomal RNA, 708 nt
Filed under: Triticum aestivum (bread wheat)
Lineage: Eukaryota; Viridiplantae; Streptophyta; Magnoliopsida; Poales; Poaceae
Description: partial small subunit ribosomal RNA
Source: RNAcentral